This 245-nucleotide ribosomal RNA is filed under the name uncultured bacterium. Its description in RNAcentral is "partial 16S ribosomal RNA". It matches the Rfam family "Bacterial small subunit ribosomal RNA", at positions 524 to 769 of the family's 1533-position model. The record is from RNAcentral.
UACGUAGGAUCCGAGCGUUGUCGGAAUUACUGGGUGUAAUGGGCGUGUAGGUGGGCCUUUAAGUCGGUAGUGAAAUCCCGCAGCUCAACUGCGGAAUUGCUUCCGAUACUGGAGGUCUUGAGUACGGCAGAGGGAGAUAGAAUUCAUGGUGUAGCGGUGAAAUGUGUAGAUAUCAUGAAGAAUACCGGUAGCGAAGGCGGUCUCCUGGUCCGUUACUGACACUGAGGCGCGAAAGCUAGGGGAGC